GUGGGGAAUAUUGGACAAUGGGCGCAAGCCUGAUCCAGCCAUGCCGCGUGAGUGAUGAAGGCCUUAGGGUUGUAAAGCUCUUUCAGUGGGGACGAUAAUGACGGUACCCACAGAAGAAGCCCCGGCUAACUUCGUGCCAGCAGCCGCGGUAAUACGAAGGGGGCUAGCGUUGUUCGGAUUUACUGGGCGUAAAGCGCACGUAGGCGGAUCGUUAAGUCGGGGGUGAAAUCCUGGAGCUCAACUCCAGAACUGCCUUCGAUACUGGCGAUCUUGAGUCCGGAAGAGGUGAGUGGAACUCCUAGUGUAGAGGUGGAAUUCGUAGAUAUUAGGAAGAACACCAGUGGCGAAGGCGGAUCACUGGUCCGGUACUGACGCUGAGGUGCGAAAGCGUGGGGAGCAAACAGGAUUAGAAACCCCAGUAGUCC
RNAcentral lists this ribosomal RNA (425 nucleotides) under uncultured bacterium. RNAcentral's name for it is "partial 16S ribosomal RNA". It matches the Rfam family "Bacterial small subunit ribosomal RNA", at positions 354 to 796 of the family's 1533-position model. The record is from RNAcentral.